CCCCUUGUAGUGUAAUGUUAACACAUUUGGCCGUCAACCGAAAGAUCCAAGUUAAAUUCUUGGCAAGGGGA
RNAcentral lists this transfer RNA (71 nucleotides) under subsurface metagenome. RNAcentral describes it as "tRNA-Asp". It matches the Rfam family "tRNA". Rfam says of the family: Transfer RNA (tRNA) molecules are approximately 80 nucleotides in length. Their secondary structure includes four short double-helical elements and three loops (D, anti-codon, and T loops). The record is from RNAcentral.